CAGUAGCCACGGGAAUACGGAGGGGGCUAGCGUUGUUCGGAAUUACUGGGCGUAAAGGGAGCGUAGGCGGACAUUUAAGUCAGGGGUGAAAUCCCAGAGCUCAACUCUGGAACUGCCUUUGAUACUGGGUGUCUUGAGUGUGAUAGAGGUAUGUGGAACUCCGAGUGUAGAGGUGAAAUUCGUAGAUAUUCGGAAGAACACCAGUGGCGAAGGCGACAUACUGGAUCAUUACUGACGCUGAGGCUCGAAAGCGUGGGGAGCAAACAGGAUUAGAUACCCCAGUAGUCCCUGUCUCUUAUAC
RNAcentral lists this ribosomal RNA (301 nucleotides) under uncultured bacterium. Its description in RNAcentral is "partial 16S ribosomal RNA". It matches the Rfam family "Bacterial small subunit ribosomal RNA", at positions 509 to 807 of the family's 1533-position model. The record is from RNAcentral.